Molecule: ribosomal RNA, 497 nt
Filed under: uncultured bacterium
Lineage: Bacteria
Description: partial 16S ribosomal RNA
Rfam family: Bacterial small subunit ribosomal RNA
Source: RNAcentral
GAUGAACGCUGGCGGCGUGCCUAAUACAUGCAAGUCGAACGAAAAGACGAGGCGCUUGCUCCUCUGACGUUAGCGGCGGGCGGGAGAGUAACGCGUGGAUAACCUCCCUAUCAGACUGGGAUAACUACGGAACACCGGAUAUAAUCCCGGAGAAUCUAUUGAACCGCAUGGUUCAAUGGUGAGUGACGGUUUUGCUGUCACUUAUAGCUGGAUCCCCGCCGCAUUAGCUAGUUGGUAAGGUAAAGGCUUACGAAGGCAAGGAUGCGUGUCCGACCUGAGAGGGGGAUCGCCGACACUGGAGCGGAGACACGGUCCAGAGUCCUACGGGAGGCAGCAGAAGGGAAUCGUACGCAACGGGCGAAAGCCUGACGGAGCAACGGCGCGCGAGUGAUGAAGGUCUUCGGAUCGUAAAACUCUGUUAUUAGGGAAGAACAAAUGUGUAAGUAACUAUGCACGUCUUGACGGUACCGAAUCAGAAAGCAACGGCUAACUACGUG